Long non-coding RNA from Passer domesticus (house sparrow), 1822 nucleotides. RefSeq lists it as uncharacterized. The record is from RefSeq and is a predicted model, not a curated record. The transcript is spliced from 2 exons. NCBI's taxonomy places the organism in Eukaryota, Metazoa, Chordata, Aves, Passeriformes, Passeridae.
AGGUGGGAAGAAUCUAAACCAACAUCUUUCAGCUGUUUGCCAAAUUACAAUCAUUCAGCUGUGAAACCCAGCUCAGUUAAUGCCCCUAACUAGAAAGAGUAAACCCUGCAGGACAUCAGAGAUCACAGAGCAAAGGUCAGGGCUGGGAAACCAAAUGCAGGAGAGGACAAAGUGCAAUCCCAGAACCAAGAGGCUGACAAGAAAAAGCUCAGGUAUGGAAUAAAAAGCUGCUGGGGAACAGAGAUCAUGGCACAGCUAUCAAGCAUCAGCAGAGCAAACAGCAAAGGCAAGAAUACACCUGCUUCAGCACACCAGUGUAUGUCAAACAUACUGAGGAGAAAAACAAAACCACCAAACCCAUCCAAACCACAGAAAAUGGGAAAAAGAUGUAAGUUUUAAACUAUGGUAAGUCACAGGUGCAACAGUUAAGUAUUUGCACACACUUAAUGUGGCCCCUAUGUUUUAAACCCAUCUUAAAAAGCUGUUAAGUGACUGAUUUCCCACAAAGCUCCUCACCAAAUUAUUUUCAGGAAUGCCAAACUACAUAUGCAUAAUAUUUCACAAUGUACCCAGGUUUUACAAGGAAAAUCUCCCCCAAAAAAAAAUUAAUCUAAAGAGGGCUACUCAGGCAGUCCCUACUCUUAAUUCCUCUCCCUUUCUUGGGAUCAACCACUAUUCUUUGUGUUACAGAGACUUCUUAGAAGCUGUAGAAAAGAAAGGACAAUGUAAGACAAUUUCCAUGGAGACUGCUAACAUGUAUCUUCAGCUCACUGAUCUAGAAGCUGCCCUGAUUCAAGGCAGGGGGUUUUAGGCUCUUAAAACUCUGCAAGCUCUUCUCAAAGCUCUUAAAGCUUUCCAGCUCCCCAGGCAAGUUGCCUAACCUGUAUUUAAAACCUCUUAGUGGAAGCCAGGAACCAGUUUCUCAAGGUGUGGUUUUGCUCCCAUUCAGUUCUCAGGGAAGCAGGACAAUUAUGCUCCCCCAACAACCCAGCCUGCUUAUUCCUGCCUCACAGACCAUCCCCUAAACUCUGCAGGAAAAGCAAAAUACUGCACAUCUACAAAUGGGGAGGAAACUAAUCCUCUGCUUCUAUAUGAACUAUUAAGAGUCUGUUGUCAUACUUUUACACCUGUUGUGCCUAUAAUCCAAUACAGCUGUUAAGAGCUGGGGAGGGUGGGAGGGAGAGGAGCCUCAUUUUUAGAGCCAUCUAAUUAAAAACCUCAGCUGUACCUCCUGAAGCAGCACAGCCACGUUUAAAACACUGAGCCUAUUAUACCCUGUUAGCCACCACGUGGGAGCAAGAGCUUUUUUCAUAGACAAACUUCUGUAUUUGCCUAAAGAAAUACUCAUAACCUUCCUCAAGAUAAGAAUUUUUUUUCCCCAUGCCUCCUGGAAAUUCUGCUUCUGGAGCAGAAUACAGGCAGACAAAAACACAGAUGGAAAUGGAGAACACUCUCAGGCUAGCCCAACAUAUCCCUGAGCAGUGCCACACUCCAAAACAGAGAAAAGAGGAAGGAAGCACAAUUUAUUCACAGUUUCCUGGUGGAAUGACAGGCUAAAGCCAUGUGACUAUGUUACAAUGAGUUAGCAUGUUUCUAUAGCUUGGAGAAAGACACAGGUUCCAUCUCCUAAAGCAACAAGUGGGUGCCACACAGUGCUAGCACAGCAGCUUGUCCAGGAGCAAGUCCCAGAGCAUCCCUGGUGUUCCAAAGGAAGAAAAACCCCAGUUUUGCACUUCCUGCUGCUCAGCAUCCCUUAUUUAAAUCCUGCCUUUCAAAACCAAGCAGCGUCAGUAAAAUUUGGAUGCUGUGGCACUGUUCCAAG